This is a long non-coding RNA of Musca domestica (house fly), 816 nucleotides long. RefSeq lists it as uncharacterized. NCBI's taxonomy places the organism in Eukaryota, Metazoa, Arthropoda, Insecta, Diptera, Muscidae. The transcript has 2 exons. The record is from RefSeq and is a predicted model, not a curated record.
GCUUAUUAUUUGGGUCCAUAGCUGCUUAAGCAUAAUUGUUUUUCUGUCGACUUGCCGCUUGUGUUUUAUUCUUCUUUGUGCGAUAUCCGUUGUUGGUUCAGAACAGUAGGUCCGUUGAAAAUUCUGUCACUUGAUUGUUACAGCCUGUUCCACGAUCUCGAAAGAAAAUUUGUGCGAACGAAGGCUACUCACUCACUUUCGUAUAAGAAUGCGUUCCACUAACUUUCGUUCUUUCUUUCGCAUAGCCUUACGUGAUUCAGUGUUGCUAAAUAUUUUUUUGGAAAAAUUAAUCGCGAAAUAAAGCAAAAAAACGUCAAAUGUCUAAUUUAAACGCGAAAAAGCAGCAGUGGCUCUGUCUCAACUGACAUUUCAGUUGUAAACAAACAAAUUGUAAAUAAACAAACAAAAUAAAAUUUCUACUGAUUGUGUUCAAACUAUUUGUGCUCUUAGAAAAUAAAAAAAAAGAAUAUUUCCGUAGCCCUAUUUUUUAUGGAGGAGGUUCGAAAUGUGCCACGGAGGCAUUUAAGAGAUGCUUCGAAUUUAUUUGAAGUACCUAACAACCAGUUUGUGGCCAACUUUCGUGUGUCGAAGGAAGUUUUCGGGCUCUUUUGGAUAUGAUGGAAGAGAAGUGGGUGCCCGGUUGCAGAACUACCCAAAUCCGCCCUGAUUUAAAACUUCUUCUGCUGCUUCCAAAAAUUGGAACACAGGAUUCUCCUCCAUUUACUCAACUAGUGCCCGCAGCUGUGUAGUUGAUGAUUUUUUCGUGCUGGAAUUGAGAAAAUAAAAAAAAUAUAUAUUUGUUGUUCACAUAUUAAA